CCUACGGGAGGCAGCAGUGAGGAAUAUUGGUCAAUGGCCGGAAGGCUGAACCAGCCAUGCCGCGUGAAGGUCAGUGCCCUAUGGGCGUUAAACUUCUUUUGUGCGGGAGCAAUAAUGGUCACGUGUGGCCAGACGAGAGUACCGUACGAAUAAGCAUCGGCUAACUCCGUGCCAGCAGCCGCGGUAAUACGGGGGAUGCAAGCGUUAUCCGGAUUUAUUGGGUUUAAAGGGUGCGUAGGCUGUGAGGUAAGUCAGCGGUGAAAUGCCCCCGCUCAACGGGGUGAAGUGCCAUUGAUACUGCCUGGCUGGAAUGGGGAUGCCGUGGGAGGAAUGUGGGGUGUAGCGGUGAAAUGCAUAGAUAUCACACAGAACACCGAUUGCGAAGGCAUCUCACGAAUCCGCGAUUGACGCUGAUGCACGAAAGCGUGGGUAUCAAACAGGAUUAGAUACCGAGUAGUC
This 459-nucleotide ribosomal RNA is filed under the name uncultured bacterium. RNAcentral's name for it is "partial 16S ribosomal RNA". It matches the Rfam family "Bacterial small subunit ribosomal RNA", at positions 338 to 795 of the family's 1533-position model. The record is from RNAcentral.